GACAGAGGGUGCAAACGUUGUUCGGAAUUACUGGGCGUAAAGCGUGCGCAGGCGGUUCGUUAAGUCAGAUGUGAAAGCCCCGGGCUCAACCUGGGAACUGCAUUUGAAACUGGCGGGCUUGAGUGUGGCAGAGGGGGGUGGAAUUCCGCGUGUAGCAGUGAAAUGCGUAGAGAUGCGGAGGAACACCGAUGGCGAAGGCAGCCCCCUGGGCCAACACUGACGCUCAGGCACGAAAGCGUGGGGAGCAAACAGG
This 253-nucleotide ribosomal RNA is filed under the name uncultured bacterium. RNAcentral's name for it is "partial 16S ribosomal RNA". It matches the Rfam family "Bacterial small subunit ribosomal RNA", at positions 524 to 776 of the family's 1533-position model. The record is from RNAcentral.